RNAcentral lists this long non-coding RNA (637 nucleotides) under Heterocephalus glaber (naked mole-rat). RNAcentral's name for it is "lncRNA (ENSHGLG00000033907.1)". The record is from RNAcentral. Lineage: Eukaryota; Metazoa; Chordata; Mammalia; Rodentia; Bathyergidae.
GAGAGGAGGCUAAAGAGGCGGUGGCGUAGGGCACUCCCUGCCUGGGCCACAGUGCGCCACUCGGGGCGCUGCGGCCCCCGGGUCUCAGUGCUGGCAGGAAAACAGCUGGGGCCAAGAGGGAGCGUCAUUUCGAAAACCUGCUUCUGGGAACAAAGCGUAAAGUGCAAGCUGGGAGGCGUGGCACUGAGUGCUGGGGAUGGAACCCAGGGCCUUAAGCAUGCAAGAGUUGAAGACAUGGAGGAGCAUACAAGCUGUCCUGAUACAGAUUGACCAAAAAGCCCUCCACCCCUUCCCUGAAAAAUGACCACAUUCAAUGACUGGCUCAUCAAUUCCUACACAAGACAUUUCAUUUAUCAGAGCUGAAGAUGCUUAACAACAAUGGUCGCUUAAAAAAUUUUGCAGAAAAGGUUUGUAUAGGCAAAGCUGAUUUUUACUAAACUGGUGUAGUAUAAUUUAAAAUCAUAUAUUCACAAAAACAAAUUAAGAGAAAGAAAAUGUAGUGCUGUACUUUUUUUCUCACCACUUAAGUUCAGGUCUCCUGUCUUACAGAAUACAAAGAAGACAUCAAUGAGGUCAUUCCACUGCUGUUAAAUUAUAAAAUGCUAGAUUUUAUAAAUAUUUUCCUCUAAAAGAGAAU